GUAGGUGGCAAGCGUUGUCCGGAAUUAUUGGGCGUAAAGCGCGCGCAGGCGGUCCUUUAAGUCUGAUGUGAAAGCCCACGGCUCAACCGUGGAGGGUCAUUGGAAACUGGGGGACUUGAGUACAGAAGAGGAAAGCGGAAUUCCAAGUGUAGCGGUGAAAUGCGAAGAGAUUUGGAGGAACACCAGUGGCGAAGGCGGCUUUCUGGUCUGUAACUGACGCUGAGGCGCGAAAGCGUGGGGAGCAAACAGGAUUAGAUACCCUGGUAGUCCACGCCGUAAACGAUGAGUGCUAAGUGUUAGGGGGUUUCCCGCCCCCCUUAGUGCUGCAGCUAACGCAUUAAGCACUCCGCCUGGGGAGUACGGCCGCAAGGCUA
RNAcentral lists this ribosomal RNA (374 nucleotides) under uncultured organism. Its description in RNAcentral is "partial 16S ribosomal RNA". It matches the Rfam family "Bacterial small subunit ribosomal RNA", at positions 527 to 896 of the family's 1533-position model. The record is from RNAcentral.